GAUGAAGAACGUAGCGAAAUGCGAUAAGUAAUGUGAAUUGCAGAAUUCCGUGAAUCAUCAAAUCUUUGAACGCACAUUGCGCCCCCUGGCAUUCCGGGGGGCAUGCCUGUCCGAGCGUCAUUUCUGCCCUCAAGCACGGCUUGUGUGUUGGGUGUGGUCCCCCCGGGGACCUGCCCGAAAGGCAGCGGCGACGUCCGUCUGGUCCUCGAGCGUAUGGGGCUCUGUCACUCGCUCGGGAAGGACCUGCGGGGGUUGGUCACCACUAUAUUUUACCACGGUUGACCUCGGAUCAGGUAGGAGUUACCCGCUGAACUUAAGCAUAUCAAUAAGCGGAGGA
This 337-nucleotide unclassified non-coding RNA is filed under the name soil metagenome. RNAcentral's name for it is "partial contains 5.8S ribosomal RNA, internal transcribed spacer 2, and large subunit ribosomal RNA". The stretch from base 1 to 120 matches the Rfam family "5.8S ribosomal RNA", at positions 35 to 154 of the family's 154-position model. The record is from RNAcentral.